AUGAACGCUGGCGGCGUGCCUCAUACCUGCCAGUCGAGCGAACAGACGAGGAGCUUGCUCCUUUGACGUUAGCGGCGGACGGGUGAGUAACACGUAGGUAACCUACCUAUAAGACUGGGAUAACUUCGGGAAACCGGAGCUAAUACCGGAUAAUAUUUCGAACCGCAUGGUUCGAUAGUGAAAGAUGGCUUUGCUAUCACUUAUAGAUGGACCUGCGCCGUAUUAGCUAGUUGGUAAGGUAACGGCUUACCAAGGCAACGAUACGUAGCCGACCUGAGAGGGUGAUCGGCCACACUGGAACUGAGACACGGUCCAGACUCCUACGGGAGGCAGCAGUAGGGAAUCUUCCGCAAUGGGCGAAAGCCUGACGGAGCAACGCCGCGUGAGUGAUGAAGGUCUUCGGAUCGUAAAACUCUGUUAUUAGGGAAGAACAAACGUGUAAGUAACUGUGCACGUCUUGACGGUACCUAAUCAGAAAGCCACGGCUAACUACGUG
RNAcentral lists this ribosomal RNA (496 nucleotides) under uncultured bacterium. RNAcentral's name for it is "partial 16S ribosomal RNA". It matches the Rfam family "Bacterial small subunit ribosomal RNA", at positions 29 to 507 of the family's 1533-position model. The record is from RNAcentral.